This 484-nucleotide ribosomal RNA is filed under the name uncultured bacterium. Its description in RNAcentral is "partial 16S ribosomal RNA". It matches the Rfam family "Bacterial small subunit ribosomal RNA", at positions 29 to 507 of the family's 1533-position model. The record is from RNAcentral.
AUUGAACGCUGGCGGCAUGCUUUACAUAUGCAAGUCGAACGGCAGCGCGGGCUUCGGCCUGGCGGCGAGUGGCGAACGGGUGAGUAAUACAUCGGAACGUGCCCAGUAGUGGGGGAUAGCUCGGCGAAAGCCGGAUUAAUACCGCAUACGACCUGAGGGUGAAAGCGGGGGAUCUUCGGACCUCGCGCUAUUGGAGCGGCCGAUGGCAGAUUAGCUAGUUGGUGGGGUAAAGGCCUACCAAGGCGACGAUCUGUAGCUGGUCUGAGAGGACGACCAGCCACACUGGGACUGAGACACGGCCCAGACUCCUACGGGAGGCAGCAGUGGGGAAUUUUGGACAAUGGGCGAAAGCCUGAUCCAGCAAUGCCGCGUGUGUGAUGAAGGCCUUCGGGUUGUAAAGCACUUUUGGCGGGAACGAAAAGGACUGUGCCAAUACCACGGUUCGAUGACGGUACCCGCAGAAUAAGCACCGGCUAACUACGUG